Molecule: non-coding RNA, 21 nt
Filed under: Caenorhabditis elegans
Lineage: Eukaryota; Metazoa; Nematoda; Chromadorea; Rhabditida; Rhabditidae
Source: RNAcentral
UCCAUGUUCCUUUUUACACAU